GCUCAGGAUGAACGCGGGCGGCGUGCCUAUACAUGCAAGUCGAGCGAACGGACGAGAAGCUUGCUUCUCUGAUGUUAGCGGCGGACGGGUGAGUAACACGUGGAUAACCUACCUAUAAGACUGGGAUAACUUCGGGAAACCGGAGCUAAUACCGGAUAAUAUUUUGAACCGCAUGGUUCAAAAGUGAAAGACGGUCUUGCUGUCACUUAUAGAUGGAUCCGCGCUGCAUUAGCUAGUUGGUAAGGUAACGGCUUACCAAGGCAACGAUGCAUAGCCGACCUGAGAGGGUGAUCGGCCACACUGGAACUGAGACACGGUCCAGACUCCUACGGGAGGCAGCAGUAGGGAAUCUUCCGCAAUGGGCGAAAGCCUGACGGAGCAACGCCGCGUGAGUGAUGAAGGUCUUCGGAUCGUAAAACUCUGUUAUUAGGGAAGAACAUAUGUGUAAGUAACUGUGCACAUCUUGACGGUACCUAAUCAGAAAGCCACGGCUAACUACGUGCCAGCAGCCGCGGUAAUACGUAGGUGGCAAGCGUUAUCCGGAAUUAUUGGGCGUAAAGCGCGCGUAGGCGGUUUUUUAAGUCUGAUGUGAAAGCCCACGGCUCAACCGUGGAGGGUCAUUGGAAACUGGAAAACUUGAGUGCAGAAGAGGAAAGUGGAAUUCCAUGUGUAGCGGUGAAAUGCGCAGAGAUAUGGAGGAACACCAGUGGCGAAGGCGACUUUCUGGUCUGUAACUGACGCUGAUGUGCGAAAGCGUGGGGAUCAAACAGGAUUAGAUACCCUGGUAGUCCACGCCGUAAACGAUGAGUGCUAAGUGUUAGGGGGUUUCCGCCCCUUAGUGCUGCAGCUAACGCAUUAAGCACUCCGCCUGGGGAGUACGACCGCAAGGUUGAAACUCAAAGGAAUUGACGGGGACCCGCACAAGCGGUGGAGCAUGUGGUUUAAUUCGAAGCAACGCGAAGAACCUUACCAAAUCUUGACAUCCUUUGACAACUCUAGAGAUAGAGCCUUCCCCUUCGGGGGACAAAGUGACAGGUGGUGCAUGGUUGUCGUCAGCUCGUGUCGUGAGAUGUUGGGUUAAGUCCCGCAACGAGCGCAACCCUUAAGCUUAGUUGCCAUCAUUAAGUUGGGCACUCUAAGUUGACUGCCGGUGACAAACCGGAGGAAGGUGGGGAUGACGUCAAAUCAUCAUGCCCCUUAUGAUUUGGGCUACACACGUGCUACAAUGGACAAUACAAAGGGCAGCGAAACCGCGAGGUCAAGCAAAUCCCAUAAAGUUGUUCUCAGUUCGGAUUGUAGUCUGCAACUCGACUACAUGAAGCUGGAAUCGCUAGUAAUCGUAGAUCAGCAUGCUACGGUGAAUACGUUCCCGGGUCUUGUACACACCGCCCGUCACACCACGAGAGUUUGUAACACCCGAAGCCGGUGGAGUAACCUUUUAGGAGCUAGCCGUCGAAGGUGGGACAAAUGAUUG
Molecule: ribosomal RNA, 1474 nt
Filed under: Staphylococcus aureus
Lineage: Bacteria; Bacillati; Bacillota; Bacilli; Caryophanales; Staphylococcaceae
Description: partial 16S ribosomal RNA
Rfam family: Bacterial small subunit ribosomal RNA
Source: RNAcentral